GACAAAAAUAGUAACAACUUAUACAACCAGAAACAAACAUAAUACUUUCUUCUCCAUUCAUUAGAUCUAUAUAUCCCACCUUAAAAUAUACCAUUGAAGUUACUGUAGAUUCCUUAUUAUUUGUAGGGUACCUAUUUUCAUGGAUUUCGUGGGUAAAGAUAAACCACCAAUUUAAAUGUUCAACGAAGUAUAAAUUUAGCAAAAGGUUGUAUGCAAACUUUGAAACAACCAUGAAAUAAAGUAUUUAAUGAAAAUAUGAUUUUUCUUCAAUCAAUGAAAAUUGGUAGCUAUGAAAAUAAAUAAAUAAAUCCAC
Molecule: long non-coding RNA, 313 nt
Organism: Mytilus californianus (California mussel)
Lineage: Eukaryota; Metazoa; Mollusca; Bivalvia; Mytilida; Mytilidae
Exons: 2
Source: RefSeq, a predicted model, not a curated record